UUCCAUUCCAAUGCUUAUGACAUCAAGCAGUGAAACAAUAGGAACAACUCCAGGUCUUUGGAGUGAACGUUUUAGUACAGGUGUUGCUGGGAGUCCAUUUCCAACGACCCUAGAAGCUAGAAACGAGGGCAGGGCUACAGAGGGACCCAGCUUCACCAGUACUGGGCAAAUAGCAGGGACCCCAGGAGUUUCCGAGGGCUUCACAGCAGCACCCGGCAGUGAGAGCACACGUGGAGACUCCAGCGCCCCAGGCACGACCUUGGGAGGCAGAGCAGGUAUGCCAAGUUGGGAGCUUCUCCUCAGGCACCUCAGGCAAGUGGCCAGUGGCUAAUGCCAGGAGGGAGUCGCUCCUGGUCAAGUGGGAGAGCCCAUCUUCAUGAGCCGACUCUCCAUGUGUUUGGGGGC
RNAcentral lists this long non-coding RNA (405 nucleotides) under Canis lupus familiaris (dog). RNAcentral's name for it is "lncRNA (ENSCAFG00000056382.1)". The record is from RNAcentral. Lineage: Eukaryota; Metazoa; Chordata; Mammalia; Carnivora; Canidae.